Molecule: unclassified non-coding RNA, 261 nt
Filed under: uncultured fungus
Lineage: Eukaryota; Fungi
Description: partial contains small subunit ribosomal RNA, internal transcribed spacer 1, and 5.8S ribosomal RNA
Rfam family: Eukaryotic small subunit ribosomal RNA (bases 1-73)
Source: RNAcentral
GCAAACUUGGUCAUUUAGAGGAAGUAAAAGUCGUAACAAGGUUUCCGUAGGUGAACCUGCGGAAGGAUCAUUAGUGAAAACAUUAGGAGCUGUUGCUAUACAUUGUGCACGCUCCGUUUUUCAUCCACUCACACCUGUGCACUUGUUGAGGUUUAAAACAAACCUCUAUUACACACUCGUAUUCAUUAGAACGUGUUGUUUUUAAAUAAUACAACUUUCAACAACGGAUCUCUUGGCUCUCGCAUCGAUGAAGAACGCAGC